RNAcentral lists this ribosomal RNA (467 nucleotides) under uncultured bacterium. RNAcentral's name for it is "partial 16S ribosomal RNA". It matches the Rfam family "Bacterial small subunit ribosomal RNA", at positions 28 to 507 of the family's 1533-position model. The record is from RNAcentral.
GACGAACGCUGGCGGCGUGCUUAACACAUGCAAGUCGAACGGAAAGGCCUCUUUCGGGGGGUACUCGAGUGGCGAACGGGUGAGUAACACGUGAGUAACCUGCCCUUGACUUUGGGAUAACUUCAGGAAACUGGGGCUAAUACCGGAUAGGAGCUCCUGCUGCAUGGUGGGGGUUGGAAAGUUUCGGCGGUUGGGGAUGGACUCGCGGCUUAUCAGCUUGUUGGUGGGGUAGUGGCUUACCAAGGCUUUGACGGGUAGCCGGCCUGAGAGGGUGACCGGCCACAUUGGGACUGAGAUACGGCCCAGACUCCUACGGGAGGCAGCAGUGGGGAAUAUUGCACAAUGGGUGGAAGCCUGAAGCAGCAACGCCGUGUGCGGGAUGACGGCCUUCGGGUUGGAAACCGCUUUCGCUCAUGACGAAGCUUUGUGUGACGGUAGUGGGUAAAGAAGCACCGGCUAACUACGUG